GACGAAGGGGGCUAGCGUUGUUCGGAAUUACUGGGCGUAAAGCGUGCGUAGGUGGUGAGUUAAGUCUGUCGUGAAAGCCCCGGGCUCAACCUGGGAAUGGCGAUGGAUACUGGCUCGCUAGAGUGCGGUAGAGGAGAGUGGAAUUCCCGGUGUAGCAGUGAAAUGCGUAGAGAUCGGGAGGAACAUCAGUUGCGGAGGCGGCUCUCUGGACCAGCACUGACACUGAGGCACGAAAGCGUGGGGAGCAAACAGG
This 253-nucleotide ribosomal RNA is filed under the name uncultured bacterium. Its description in RNAcentral is "partial 16S ribosomal RNA". It matches the Rfam family "Bacterial small subunit ribosomal RNA", at positions 524 to 776 of the family's 1533-position model. The record is from RNAcentral.